UACGUAGGGAGCAAGCGUUGUCCGGAAUCAUUGGGCGUAAAGCGCGCGUAGGCGGCCCGAUAAGUCCGCUGUGAAAGUCAACGGCUCAACUGUUGGAUGCCGGUGGAUACUGUCGGGCUAGAGUACGGAAGAGGCAAGUGGAAUUCCUGGUGUAGCGGUGGAAUGCGCAGAUAUCAGGAGGAACACCUAUAGCGAAGGCAGCUUGGUGGGAAGUUACUGACGCUAAGGCGCGAAAGCGUGGGGAGCGAACAGG
RNAcentral lists this ribosomal RNA (253 nucleotides) under uncultured bacterium. RNAcentral describes it as "partial 16S ribosomal RNA". It matches the Rfam family "Bacterial small subunit ribosomal RNA", at positions 524 to 776 of the family's 1533-position model. The record is from RNAcentral.